This 252-nucleotide ribosomal RNA is filed under the name uncultured bacterium. Its description in RNAcentral is "partial 16S ribosomal RNA". It matches the Rfam family "Bacterial small subunit ribosomal RNA", at positions 524 to 776 of the family's 1533-position model. The record is from RNAcentral.
UACAGAGGGGGCAAGCGUUAUUCGGAAUUAUUGGGCGUAAAGGCGCGUAGGCGGCCAUUCAAGUGACGGGUGAAAGCCCUCGGCUUAACCGAGGAACUGCCUGUCAGACUGGAUGGCUUGAGACCGGGAGAGGUGAGUGGAAUUCCCAGUGUAGCGGUGAAAUGCGUAGAUAUUGGGAGGAACACCAGUGGCGAAGGCGGCUCACUGGACCGGAACUGACGCUGAGGCGCGAAAGCGUGGGGAGCAAACAGG